Molecule: non-coding RNA, 3011 nt
Organism: Vicugna pacos (alpaca)
Lineage: Eukaryota; Metazoa; Chordata; Mammalia; Artiodactyla; Camelidae
Source: RefSeq, a predicted model, not a curated record
UGAAAAAACAGACCACCAAAGACUAAACAUAGGAUGGUCACUCUUUUUCAUCUACAGAGACAGAUAAUUCCAGAAGAGGGCUAACCAAGGAGAUUAAUGGUUGUUCCUGAGUGGUGGGUUCAUUAAAGGGUAGUUUUCUUUUUAUUCUCUUUUGCUGGUCUGUCCUUUCUAAAUUUUCUAAAGUGAGCGUGCAUUGUUUCAGUCAGAAGGAAAUACACAAAUUAUUUUUAGAAUUAAAAAAGUCUCUAGAGGGUUUCUGUUGUUUUAAGUAAAAAUUCGAUCUGUAUCAGUGGCCAAAGCAGUAUUCCUGAAUAGCAAGUUGGCUUCCUCGACUUCAAAUCCACCUUCCCACCAUGGGAAGGAAAAGGGCCAGCUGAUAGCAAAUCCUAAAACUCAAGGUGAAGAACCAGCCUGCUGUUUAUGGUUAAUUCACACACACAUACACGCACAUGCACACGCAUACGCACGCACACACACAGGAACCCACUUUUUUGAUAUCUGUUCUCUGAAAACACAGGUCAGCAACCACUUUAGGUCCUUACAGAAAUGGGUUUCGUUUUAUGACUUUGGACUUCAUACUCUGGUAGUUUUGCCGUUUUCUUCUGCCCUCACUAUGCUAACACAGACCCUCAUUUAUUUUGAAUCUGUGUAGGAGGGAGUCGUUGCAAUUUUCAGGGUUUGUCUAUCCACAAGUCAACUGGAGGGGAGCGGGGGGUUGGGCCCAGACCAAGCCAGAUCCAACUCACGGCCUCACAAAAUACACUCCAUCCGUGUAUUAUCGCGAGUAAAGUUCACUCCUCACGUGAUGCGGUCAUGCUGCCCAGGCCCCGUUGACGGAUCUCUGCAUAUUUAACCUCAGCCACAAAAUGUGAGUACUUGAGCUCUCAACACACCCCCGGUACCUGAAUAUCAGCCAAGAAGUGGAGCGAGGCUGCAGCAUCGCAGAGCUGGCCUGAGAGCACGGGGACAUUUGCUGGGGCGAAGAUGGAUGCAUCGCAUUUCUUAACAGGCCUUCUCAGAUUCACUCCCGUGGCGACUGCUAAGUUAUCAGCAAAAAUUAUGCGAACCACAAGACACAGCAAUGCACAAAUCAUGGGAACCCCGAAACACGCUCAUCAGAGGCCCGAGUAAGUUUUUCUAAUAGCAAGACCUUGGCCUUGGUGUUUUCAAUCUGGAAAUAAUAGAUGAAGUUGAAUCUUGGUCUGUGUUAAAAUAGCAUUGACUUAAAUACCAAUGCCAAUAGCAGUUUAACAUUUAUUUUCAAAACCAAUCUCCCUUUCUCUUUCUUGGUAUCAUUCACAAAGGGAUUUUUUUUUUUUUUGGUUGUUUGUUUUGGGGAUGUUUGUUUUGUUCUGUUUUGUUUUCCAUGGAAAUAGUUAUGUUCUGAGAAACAGCAACUUGGAAUUUUAAAAAAAAGGGUACUUUUCCUAAAAGUAUAUUCAAGAACAGCCGAGUCCACACUUUCAAACCCUACUCAUAGUGUAAUCUUCGAAUGUUUUUCCUACCUAAAGAUUAUAUUCUAGGUUUCCAAAAUCCCCGAAAGAUGCCACACAGCUUCUAGAUCUGUUCCACUUAAUUCCUAAUUAAAGACCGAGAAAAAGGAAAGCUUUUAUUGAAAUGCUUGGAUUCGAGGAAAGGAGGUUACAACUGGAGUUGAUAUUGGUGAGUAUUUAACUAGCAAAGGUUAAUUAGAACUGCAGGAAUGAGAUGUAAAAUAACGGAUUCUGAUCAAUUGAUUAAUGAGAUGUCAGAAGGUACAAGAAUUCACCUUUGGGAGAAGCAUAUUAAAAAUGAAAUACAUUUGCAGAGCCAUAAUGUCUUCCCUCUUAUUUAGUUUAUUAAACACUAGGAGCAGCUGGAUGUUUUUCUAUCUGUGACAAUCUGCAGAAAAUUACGGCCCCCAAAUCCACCAAAAGUAGCACCAAAAUGUCACCCAGUCUCCCCUAACACCCAUAAAAGUGAACAAAGUCUCAAGGAAGAAGCCGAAAUCUCCAGCGGUCCCCUCUCCCGCUCCUCUCUGGCCUCUCUCCCCGUUCCUUCUGCAUGCUGGGUUCAGAUUCAUUUAAAAGGUAAGUGGUUUUGAAAUUCUGGAUUAGAAAUUAUUAAAAUCGGGCAUGCUACACCCAUUCUGGAUUUAUCGAUUCAUUAGCCCCGUAUCAAUUUCACCGUUGACAUGAGUGACGCGCUGGGGAAAGGGUCUCGCGAACGCUUUUCCUUUCUCACUUGACGUUGCUGGUGAACAAACAGAUCCCCUGUUUGCGGCAUCGAUGCUCUUUGUCACAAUAAACCCCAGUAUAUUAUGUUUAUAUAUGUCCGUCAGGCAUGUCACAACAGUUUGGCAUUCUGAGCGGCUCUACCACUGUGUACAUUAAAUAGUCAUGUAGUUACAUUAAACAGUGGGGAGUUCACACUUCACAACCACUCAGUGUUUUAAAACAGAUGUGGGCUGUCUGUUGUCAGACUCUGGUGGAAAAAUUCAGAAGGAUCUGAGUGGGAACACAAUCUCCAAAUGAUUGAGGGCUCCCCCAAUUUUCCACCCACGUUCCUCCACCCCCCCCCACGAGAGGUUGAGGGUGAGAGAGAUUUGGGGGAAAGGAAGAGGGAAAAAGGUAGGGGGCAGGAAGCCACAACUUUUAUGUCUUCUAGAACAGAGAUCUGAAAAAAAAGAAUUCAGAAUUCGGAAUAGUUUGUGGCAUGGAAUAUUUUGAGCGGGGUGGGCUCGCUGGGGUGUCGUGGGAUUUACUGACAGGAGAAUUUUUGACAGUUGAUGGACAGAUGAAUUCCGUCAUGGAAGCGUUAGUCGAAAGCGGCAAGGCCAGAUGGAAACUCACAGCUUGUCUUUAAUAUUAAUUUCCUUUUUUUUUUCAGGAGAUCAGAAUUCCCUAAUUCCCUAAAAUGUUUCAAUGCAUCUUGAGGUAUUAUUUUUCAGAUGCCUUUCUCCACCUACUCUUAGUACGAGUGUUCCUUUGUGUGAAUGUUAUGUUUCCUCCCUUACUUUGAAAAAAAAAAAA